RNAcentral lists this small nuclear RNA (104 nucleotides) under Schistosoma margrebowiei. The record is from RNAcentral. Lineage: Eukaryota; Metazoa; Platyhelminthes; Trematoda; Strigeidida; Schistosomatidae.
GUACUCGAUUCAGCGGCACAUAUAAUAAAAUUGGAACGAUACAGAGAUUAGCAUGGCACCCGCGCAAGGUUGACACGCAAAAUCGUGAAGCCUUCCAUAUUUUU